GGUUUCAUACUGGGGAGCACCCAGCUUCAUGUAAUCGGUCAUCUUGACCUUGCUCCCUCCAGAUGAGCUAGGUUUAGGCAUUUGGGUUUCUGGGACAGUAGGUUCUGCUGGUGGUGGAGGAGGUGCAGCAUCCCCUGGGGUAGGGUUUGCUGGACCUGGGUAGAAAGAUGGGGGUGGGUACAUAGGGUACUGUGGGUAUGGUGGGUAGAAAGAUGGGUAUGGCAUGUGUGAGUGGUAAGGGC
RNAcentral lists this long non-coding RNA (242 nucleotides) under Manihot esculenta (cassava). RNAcentral describes it as "long non-coding RNA (MESC_LNC011590)". The record is from RNAcentral. Lineage: Eukaryota; Viridiplantae; Streptophyta; Magnoliopsida; Malpighiales; Euphorbiaceae.